This is a non-coding RNA of Caretta caretta (loggerhead turtle), 2248 nucleotides long. The record is from RefSeq and is a predicted model, not a curated record. Lineage: Eukaryota; Metazoa; Chordata; Testudines; Cheloniidae.
CUAAAGGAGAAAAGAACCACCCCCUCCUUCCAUCUGUGGAUCUCACCAGUACAGUGAGCCAGUCAGAAAUCACUGUAGCUAGAGCUCUCCAAGGAGAAUCCAAGUUUUCCCAAGCUGUGUCACAAAACAAAAGGUCCUGUUGAUGAAUCUCCUGAAAUCAGUUUAAGUGCCCCUCAGGAAUCUUGCCUUCUCCUCAGGCAGAGCGUGGGCUGAUGCUUCACUACUCUCCACACACCUACUUCCUGAAAUCUUGGCAAUUACCAACAGUGCAAAACCCAGUUUCUGACGUGGUUGACUCAGCAAGGGCUUGGCUCAAAACAAACACAUACACACAAGGAAUCAGAGCCUGGGAAGCAGUGACAAGAGACAGAUGAGAAGAGGUGGAAGAGAGCAGAAGAGAAAGAGCACUGUAGGAUUUACCGGCUGUUUCCAAACCAGCAGAAUCUUGCCUUGAGCUGCUGAUUGUGACACACAAGUACGUUGUCUACGGUGGUGGUCGUGGUUCUCAUCACUGAAUUCUGCUGUCUCCCCUCUGCCUGCAGAACUGAGCUGCUGCUCCACCACAGAGAGUUGUGGCUCUUCAUUGAAUUCGAGACUGGAGUCCAGUGGCCUCCUACACAGUGCAGUGAACAACUCCCUUCCUUUUGCUGCCUAGCAUGGAUACUUGGCGGAGAGGAUCCAUUAAAUCCACAACGUUCUUCAAGCGUCUUUCGUUCAGGAGGCAUAAAAAGCUGGGUAAUCAAGUCAUUAUUUUGAAUCAGACCAGCCAGACACUUGAGAACAAUGGACAGUACAAGAGGGAACCAUUAAGAGACCUGAAGGAUAAAGCAGAGUACCUGGUAUGUAAGAGUGAGCAAAAUCUAGCCCAGGCACAGGCACCUCCUAAGCCACCCCGGCUGUAUCUGGACAGUUCCAGCUGCCCCAACAUAAUUGACCACACGGAGUCUCACUCUACAGCCAUCUCCUUUUCCAGUGUCACUCCUCAGUACCAUAAGACAACACAAACACACAUGACUAACUCCAACACGGUCCAGGCUACAGACUGUGGGACCUCUGAAAUAGGCUCUGAUCCCUUCCUUUCCUUCAAAGUGGACUUGGGGCUAUCACUCCUUGAGGAUGUUCUGCAGACUCUCAGGAAACAGAAUCCAAGAGAUUACGCAGCUUGAAAGUGUUUAUCAUUUAAGUUAUUAAAUUAAUUAUCAGCAUUAGUAGUUUCCUUAGCCCUCACAGGAGAAGAGGAGACACUGGAGUGUCCCUACCCUGGACUGCCUGUCUCAUCGUCCUGUCUUGCCCACCAUAAGCUGUUCUUGUCCAGGCUCCCUUCCCAUUGAGUUGUCAGUACACCAGUUUGUGAGAGAGCCACAUGCCGGAAUCUAGUUUGAUGCAUUUCCAUUCUCUACACUGGACGGGGAAUUCCUCUCCACUGCUGACACUGUACCUCAUCCUGAUGAAAAAAAAGGACAUGUCUGGUAACAGAGACCUGUUAUUUUUGGAACCCCGCUGUGACUAUAAAAGGCAAGGGGGAAAAAGGGGGGCAUAGAAACAGGAUUCCUGAGUAACUGGACAGUUUGGAUGAGAUGGCAGCUCCAAUAUCUCAAAGCCAGGUGGAGCAGAGAAAAUGGAUGUGAUGAUUCAGGAUGUUUCUUUCCCCCUAACUCUGUGUGAUGGGCAUUCCCAUCUACCAUCUAACUGGAAAAAGGUGCAAAUGUUUCUAUGCUCCCCCUAUCAUCUCCGUCCCUGAGGUUAUCGCAGAUUAGAAGGCGAAAAAACGCACUCGCUAUGACAUGUUUUCCGAGCUCAUGCAGUCCUCCCACACUGAUAGGACACAGCUUAUUGCAUGGAGGCAUUCAGUGGCAGAGGCCAGGAAAGCAUUAAGUGAGGACGAAGAGCAGAGGCAGGAGGCGAUGCUGCGGCUAAUGGGGGAGCAAACGGACGUGAUGAAGUGUCUGUUGGAGCUGCAGGAAAGCCAACAAGAGCACAGACCCCAGCUGCAUCCAUUGUAUAACCGCCUGUCCUCCUCCCCAAGUUCCAUAUCCUCCUCACCCAGACGCCCAAGAACGUGGGGGGAGGCUCCAGGCACCCAGCCACUCCACUCCAGAAAAUGGCCCAAGCAACAGAAGGCUGUCAUUCAAACAGUUUUGAUUUGUAGUGUGGCUACAAUAAGCAAUGUGGUCUUGUCCUUCCCUCCUCCCGCACCCCACCCCACCCGGGCUACCUUGUCAGUUAUCUCACCUUUUUUUUUUUUUUU